Long non-coding RNA from Aricia agestis (brown argus), 195 nucleotides. RefSeq lists it as uncharacterized. The transcript has 4 exons. Lineage: Eukaryota; Metazoa; Arthropoda; Insecta; Lepidoptera; Lycaenidae. The record is from RefSeq and is a predicted model, not a curated record.
UUAUCAUACACUUCCGCUUGUUCCUCUUUAUCCGGAUGGAAAACCCGUCAGCAAGAUCAUGAAAAAUACAGCAACGGCAGUAUGGUUUUUUGACGACUUGUUUGACAGUGUCAACGGAACGAGCACAAACGAAAAAAAAUCGAAGUGAACAUUUCUGCGCAAGGCUGUUACAGCAAAAUCAGCACAUCAUAAGCU